Molecule: non-coding RNA, 353 nt
Organism: Plutella xylostella (diamondback moth)
Lineage: Eukaryota; Metazoa; Arthropoda; Insecta; Lepidoptera; Plutellidae
Source: RefSeq, a predicted model, not a curated record
ACUAACAAUAAUUUAACGAAAUUUUACCUAUUCGAAACUUUGUAUUCAGUAAAGCUUUAAAGAAAUGGUAAGUAAAUCAGUCUUUGCUUAUUUAUGUGUUAUUUUGAUUUACAAUUUUAUCAUCUUUGGUAAUUUUCUUAUACAGCUUUUUAGGGGCUUAUUUCAUAGUCUUCAGGUAAAUAUCUACAUAUCUAGAACACAAGUGUUCGAAUUUCAGUAAGUAAGUAAGUAUAGUGUAAUACUAGAGACAGUCCAUGGCGUCCGCGGCCACGACCAUGGGCGGCACCCACGGCGAGUGUCGCGCGCCGAACGAAUACGCGCGGGGACUCUGCGGACAAAUGUAAUAAUUAUAA